GCCUGAACUUACUUUCCUCCAAUGAACUUUCAUUUUUUCCUUGCUGAAGACUUGUCUCCCUCUCCUAUAAAAGCCUUCCAUGCUGUGUAACCCGUGUGAGUCUCUCUGCUUGCCAGUAUGUAUCCUUCGACUUGCUUUGCUGUUUGUGGUUUUGGUCUCAGCCUACCAUGCUGCAGGAAUCCCUCAUACAUCAGAACAUACCGGACGACCCCACCUCCGCCCCCUGACAGCUCACCGCCUCCCGACCCCGCAGCCACCCCCUGGGGGCAACUUCGAAGAGAUCGAAGGCCAAGGACCGUAUUCCCAACGGUCCGCCGAAGCCUCACACACUAGACAAGCGGCGUUGAGAUGCUGGAGGACGGAGAGGGUCAACGGCUAAACCUACGACCCACCACCGGCCUUGACCCCCAGCCCGGGCGCCCUCCUGGACCCAGGUCUUCUCCAUUCCCUCUCGCUGUCUCCCUCAUUUCUAGGCGCCCUGCCUCCACCAAUCCCAUAAAGCUCAAUAAAUACCAAGAGAUCUGCAUUUGCAGCAAGGGA
Long non-coding RNA from Equus caballus (horse), 540 nucleotides. RefSeq lists it as uncharacterized. The record is from RefSeq and is a predicted model, not a curated record. NCBI's taxonomy places the organism in Eukaryota, Metazoa, Chordata, Mammalia, Perissodactyla, Equidae.